This is a long non-coding RNA of Vidua macroura (Pin-tailed whydah), 2595 nucleotides long. RefSeq lists it as uncharacterized. Lineage: Eukaryota; Metazoa; Chordata; Aves; Passeriformes; Viduidae. The record is from RefSeq and is a predicted model, not a curated record. The transcript is spliced from 2 exons.
CCGCGGUCCCACACACGACGCGGGGGGGCCGGGCUGAGCCUCGUGGCUCCAGCUCCUCCCUGCGCUCCUGGGAGUGCUGUGGUGCUCCUGCCGCGGCUGGGCUCACCCCUUAGGAGGGGACGUGCGGGAGCUGCGCUUGUUUAGUCCAGCUCCAGGUUUCUGUAGGAAAGAUAAAGCUAAGAGGGAUCUCAUCAAUACAUGUAAAUAUCGCCAAAGCAGGUGCCAAGGGGAAAGUGCCAGACUUCAGCAGUGCCCAGCGACAGGACGAGGAGCGGCGGGUACAAACUAAAACCCGAAGAGUUCCACCUCAGCAUGUAGAAGAACUUUACACUGAGGAUGGCAGGGCACUGGAACAGCAGCCCAGGGUGGCCAUGGGGUCUCUCCGGAGACAUUCCAAAGCCACCUGGAGGCGUUCCUGUACCACCUGCUCCAGGUGGCCCUGCCACGGGACGGGAUGAUCCCCAGAGGUCCCUUCCGAGCCGAACAGCUCUGAGUCUGUGUGGGUGCUCAGGUGUCCCUGCAGAGAGCGGGACCGAGCGCGUCAAGCCCGUGUGUGUCAGCGAGCUCGGGGUUCCGUGAGGGGCUCAGGGAUCCGUGAGGGGCUCAGGGAUCCGUGAGGGGCUCAGGGAUCUGUGAGGGGUUCGGGGAUCCGUGAGGGGCUCCGAAAUCUGUGAGGGGUUUGGGGAUCCGUGAGGGGUUCAGGAAUCCGUGAGGUGUUCAGGGAUCCGUGAGGGGUUCAGGGAUCCGUGAGGGGUUCAGGGAUUCGUGAGGGGCUCAGGGAUCCGUGAGUGGCUCAGGAAUCCGUGAGGGGUUCAGGAAUCCGUGAGGGGUUCAGGAAUCCAUGAGGGAUUCAGGGAUCCGUGAGGCGCUCCGGGAUCCGUGAGGGGCUCAGGGAUCCAUGACGGGCUCAGGGAUCUGUGAGGGGCUUGGCUGUCCAUGAGGGGUUCAGGAAUUCAUGAGGGGCUCGGAUAUCCGUGAGGGGCUCGGGGAUCUAUGAGGGGCUCAGCUAUCCGUGAGGGGCUCGGGGAUCUAUGAGGGGCUCAGCUAUCCGUGAGGGGCUCGGGGAUCCGAGAGGGGCUCCGCCCGGCUCCAGCCCCCGGGCCAGGGAGAGCAGCGGGCUCGGAGCGCCGGGCACAGCCAGCCCGUGUUUGCUGGCGCACCCUCACCCACCCCUGCACCCAGCCGAAGGGAGCAAGCUAAACCAUCACACAGCCCUCGUGUGCAUAAAUAUACACACAAACAUAUGCAUAUAUAUAUAUAUAUAUAUAUAUAUACAUACAUAUAUAUAUAUAUACACACUCGUAUAUGCGACAAGCAGCUGAGACCUAAACAAGCAUGCUAUAAUGUGGAGUUAUACCAACAGCGAGCAACAGAUGGACAAGACCAAGGAUUCAGUUGCCACCUUUUCCCAUCAGACACACAUGUUUAUUACUAAUCUGUUGGUACCGACAGUUUACAGCAAAUACAUGAGCUUUAUGAGGCACGCAGAUAAGCUCAGUACAUACUUCCAUGGAAAAGAUUUGCUUAACCCUCCUGCCUGAACCCUCUGCAAGAGCAAAUUCUUUUUACUUCAUGACCUCAGACUGAUGUAGCCAUUCUGGAGGCAGUCACCACCUUCCCUGUACAGAAGCAGUAGGGUGAUAUAUUUUACUUCCAGAGAACAGGAUGCCCUGGAAGAACCAAGGUGGUGGUAGUGGAUGCUGUCUUAAUUGUUUGCAAUAUUCCUGACACAACAUUUUCGAAAGGACAGAGGAGAUGAGGUCUGCUGUUGUGUUUUCUUCCCUUCUUCUUGCUCCAGGCCGGUGGGAGCCGGUGGGAUAGAGCGAGCAGUAGCAUCUGUUCCAAGAGCACAUGGGCAAACCCAGGUAAAAGACUCCCAUUGUGUGAAGUGAGGAUAGGAGAGAAUUGAGAGACAGCAAGCUGGGAAUUCAUAAAAUUAAAUGUAUGGACAGUGAGUGUCUUGAGUGGAGUUAGGAGUGGCCACGUAGUCAAAAAAGACAGAAAGAAAGGCUGGUUUUUGGGACUUAGGAGAGUUUUAUUGUAUCCCAGAAGGUCACCAAAAAUGACAUCACUAAGAAUAAGGACCUACAGCCUGCUCUGCAAGCAUCUAUGAGGAGAGGAAACAUCUGAACAUACUCUGGUUAUAAUCUGUCUCACUCUCAUUUCCUCCUUGUCUAAAGCCACCUUGUUUCAUUUGGGGCUGUGAUGAAAUACAGCUUUAGAGUUUAGAAUUCUGUGGUUUUUUUGUGAUGCUUGUGGUAGGAAAAUGGCUCUAAGCAGUUCCACUGCAGAGCUCUGGCUGACCUACAGAUCCUGUAACAGCAAGGAAGAUACAUGUGCUCAUGGUGGACAAGGAAAACUGCUGUCCUUGGUCUGGACAUGACCCAGAGUAGAGAGACAAAAAGAAAAAAAAAAGAAAAAAAAAGAAAAAGUAAUAAGCAGAAAUGAGAAUAUGAUAAACCUAAAGAAGGUGUGUGGAAUAUUUUUCCUGGUUGUGUUGCCUUUAUCACCAAAAUUUGCCUGACUUCUAUAGCUAUAUGUUUGUAAGUAUGAUUCUGUCAGAUCUCUUAAUAAAAUUCUAGAUUUCAUCCUCCA